CAGAGUUCAUGCCCUCACGGGUAGACCUCCCACCCUUGUGUUAUUAUACUAUGUUGCUUUGGCGGGCCGCGAGGCUCACGCCGCGCCCUGGGCUCUCGAGCCUGGGUGUGCCCGCCAGAGGAUAUCUAAAUUCUGAAUGUUAGUGUCGUCUGAGUAAUUAUAUAAUAAUUA
RNAcentral lists this unclassified non-coding RNA (171 nucleotides) under uncultured fungus. Its description in RNAcentral is "sequence contains ITS1, 5.8S rRNA gene". Lineage: Eukaryota; Fungi. The record is from RNAcentral. RNAcentral also lists the same sequence under 1 other name.